RNAcentral lists this ribosomal RNA (508 nucleotides) under uncultured bacterium. RNAcentral's name for it is "partial 16S ribosomal RNA". It matches the Rfam family "Bacterial small subunit ribosomal RNA", at positions 28 to 507 of the family's 1533-position model. The record is from RNAcentral.
GACGAACGCUGGCGGCGUGCUUAACACAUGCAAGUCGAACGGGCCUUGUCCCCUUUUUUUUUGGGGGUGGGGUUAGUGGCGAACGGGUGAGUAACACGUGAGUAACCUGCCCCUCACUUCUGGAUAACCGCUUGAAAGGGUGGCUAAUACGGGGUGUUCUGGCCUGCUCGCAUGGGUGGGUUUGGAAAGAUUCGACCGGUUUUGGUUGUUUUGGUGGGGGAUGGGCUCGCGGCCUAUCAGCUUGUUGGUGGGGUGAUGGCCUGCCAAGGCUUUGACGGGUAGCCGGCCUGAGAGGGUGGGCGGUCACACUGGGACUGAGACACGGCCCAGACUCCUACGGGAGGCAGCAGUGGGGAAUAUUGCACAAGGGGCGCAAGCCUGAUGCAGCGACGCCGCGUGAGGGAUGGAGGCCUUCGGGUUGUGAACCUCUUUCGCCAGUGAAGAAGGUCCUGCUCUUUGUGGUGGGGUUGACGGUAGCUGGGUUAAUGAAGCGCCGGCUAACUACGUG